AAGGUAAACUGGUGAUAGAGAUAAAGAAUUAUGAUGAAGAAGUAUUUAGAAGAUUUGUUAGUUUUAUUCACUGUGGUAAAAUCAAGGUGGAUAUCAUUACUGUUAUAGGAUUAUUUUGCGCUUCUGUUGAAUAUGACAUAAAAGAUUUGCGUAAAGCAUGCUGGGACUAUUUUCUUCGGUGUUUCCAGAACCAGAGAGAUGCACUGAUGACGUCAGUAGAUCAAUAUAGAAACAAAGACUACAGAGGAAUGAAAUAUAUCUUAAAUAAGAUAUAUGACGUUAAAGGUGUUUGAAAAUCUACAUAGAAUUUGAUCAGUUCCAGGAAUAUCACCAUGAUUGGUUCCAUAGCAGUGCCACCUGCUGAUUUUUUGAAAGUU
Long non-coding RNA from Patella vulgata (common limpet), 377 nucleotides. RefSeq lists it as uncharacterized. The record is from RefSeq and is a predicted model, not a curated record. NCBI's taxonomy places the organism in Eukaryota, Metazoa, Mollusca, Gastropoda, Patellidae. The transcript has 3 exons.